UACAGAGGUGGCGAGCGUUGUUCGGAUUUACUGGGCGUAAAGGGCGCGUAGGUGGUUUCGUGUGUCGGAUGUGAAAUCUCACUGCUCAACGGUGAAACUGCAUUCGAAACUGCGGGACUAGAGUACAGGAGAGGAGAGCGGAAUUCUUGGUGUAGCAGUGAAAUGCGUUGAUAUCAAGAAGAACACCGGUGGCGAAGGCGGCUCUCUGGAAUGCUACUGACACUGAGGCACGAAAGUUGGGGGAGCAAACAGG
RNAcentral lists this ribosomal RNA (253 nucleotides) under uncultured bacterium. Its description in RNAcentral is "partial 16S ribosomal RNA". It matches the Rfam family "Bacterial small subunit ribosomal RNA", at positions 524 to 776 of the family's 1533-position model. The record is from RNAcentral.